GUCCGCGGGAUGCAUUGGUAGCACGACGCAGGUGAGACCAAUUCUUCGAUCUCCCGCACAGAUUUGCAGCUGCAGGAAUUUUGUUUUGGGGAAAAAAUGCGUCUGCUUAGUCACGUGUGUAAUCCAUCAGUCAAUAAAUGUUUAGAGUGUUGUGUUGCAACACGAACCAAUCUUGCAGGACAGCCAGGUUAUAUAAAAAUUCGAUCUUGUGCUAGGUUCAGAAGAUGUACUACUGUAUUUACUAUAGGAUUGAAGUAGAUUAGUUCAUACUUGAAUCCUAGACAGCUUCGAAAUUUCAGAAAAGCUUGUAAUGAUCUAAUGGGUAGAUAUGCGUGUAGUUUUCAUGCCCAGAACCAACCUUGUAGUUUUAAGGUUGGGAAUCUUUUCACUUGGUUUAAAUCUGAUAUGAAUUAGUAACUGCUAGAUCUAUACUUUUUUUAUCCAUAAUCGCGAGUUAAUGGAUCAUUACUACGCUGUGUGCAAGGGGAAGAAUUUGAGCUAGCAAGGGGAAAUAGCUGUAGCCUAUUUACAACUCACAAGAGCUUGGCCAUUGGUUAUGGUUCCACACAGAAUAUGCAUGUUUAUUAGGCAAGAUCAGAUUGUGUAGAAUGAAUCUAUUCAUGCUUAUUUUGAUGCAUAAUGUAAUCUCUUGUUUUUAUAGCUUGCUGAACGUUUCAUCUUUUGUGGUUGAGUGUCGUCUCACUGCCUCCAUGUCGCCCAGUACGCCGACAAGCAUCCGACCUGCUGCUUUCGGACGGUCGGGGGAGCUGAUGCUGUAACUGGCACCACUCCAGGGACAUCUACAAGGCCGGCGAGGGCAACUCCAGCCUCUGAGCCUGGGACGACAAUAUGUGCCUCCUCCGCACUGACCAAGACGACACUGCCCAGUCAUUUCCCUUUGUCCAUUGUCCUCGUUGUGGUCGGUGAUAGGCCAUGGGAGGACGAUUUGAUGUGCAUCCACGACAGCCGAUGCCGAUUCGAUAAUUUCCAGUUUUUGGAUUUUAUCAAGAUAAAGUCAACAAAAUUGUGGCAGGCCGAGAAGGAGCGAUUCAUGCUCAAAGCAGCGAAGAAGAUCCUGGCCCAGUACAUGGUGAUAAUCAACCAGCUGAUCGGAUACUAGCUAGCAAUAUUGAGAUAUAUACUAAAGGCCCGACAUUGUUGGU
This is a long non-coding RNA of Lolium rigidum, 1163 nucleotides long. RefSeq lists it as uncharacterized. The transcript is spliced from 4 exons. The record is from RefSeq and is a predicted model, not a curated record. Lineage: Eukaryota; Viridiplantae; Streptophyta; Magnoliopsida; Poales; Poaceae.